UUCACAAUAUUCAGAAACUUUCAAUCUUCUUAUUCAAAGAAAAUAACAAACAAAAGAAAAGAGGUAGCAGCAAACUUAUCCUGGCUCACAACUCUCAUUGUUUGGCAUUUUCUUCCCCUCUCCCAUCCUCCUUAUACUAUCCCAAGAUACCAACUCCUAUACUACAGAUGAUAACUACUUUUCCUGACUAUUCAUCCAUUCUACCUACUGAACCGCCUUUUCAGCACUUAUCUAUCCCUGUUUACACUAUACACUAAGUAUCUACAUUCUGAAAAUAACUACUUAUUCUACAUAGCCCCACUCCUAAUUGAGCAGCGUCCUUGCAAACACUCAAUUGAUACCUAUCUAAAAAUUAUCUAACAAAAUUCUACAAAAAUUAUGAUCCCUCUGACCUAUCAAAUUAAUCAAUUGCCGCAAUAUCUGUUAUUGGUUCUACCGAUUCCAGUUCCAACUCCAAAUCAUCCUCGUCUUCUUCUAGUCCAUUGAGUGAUUUAAUUAUAUGAGAAGUUAUUAGAAGAUUGAUUAUGAUUGGAAAAUUAUGAUUGUUGUUUAUCAAGAGUUGUGUGUAUUUUGGACAAAAGAAGUCUGUGAUUACAGAAAUUGUGUGGAUUCAAAAUAAUUGGAAUAAAGUAUGUUAUUCUUGGUGUUGGAUGGAAUUUAUCGAGUUUUGAUGAGUCUUUUACGAGUGAAGGUUGCACAUUGUAGUUAUCAAUUGAUGAAGGAGUAUUGUUCCUAGAUGGAAGCAUUAUAGUAUUUCUUGGUGUUUUAGUAGUUUAGAUUACAGUUAAUUGAGUGACCUUAACUUGUAAGUUCAUGCAUUUAGUCUUUUCUUGAGUUCAAAUUCUUCUAUAUAGGUUUAUUAAGAAAAAAAUUAUAAAAUAAGUAAAACAACAAUCACAGUUAUUAAAUGCUCGAUUUUGUUGAUUAGAUCCAUUUCCAUUCUAUUCAUACGUAUUUUUCAUUUGAACUUGAUUGACUUUUGACUGAGUCGGUGGAAUCAUGGUCUAAUUAUUGAAUUGUUGUUGCCUUUGCCAAUUCCAACAAUUAGCUGUUAAGUGCUUUCUUCCGCAAAGUGUACAUUUAUCCAUCAUUUGUGAGGGUGAAGGACAUUCUGUUACCAAAUGACCAUGGCCCUUACAAUUACUGCACUAUACAUUGGUCCUAGUAUUAAUAGACUUUUGCCUCUUCUCCUUAUCCUUGGCCAUAUUAACAGCCAUUUUCUCCAUUUUCUUUGUUAGGUUCAAUAACAAGGUUUCAUUGGAAUCUUUUGGGACUGAUAUUAAUGGUAACUUUGUCAUUGUUGAUGCUUGUUGUUGAUAUGAAAAAUAUGGAAUAUAUGCUAUUGUCACGUUCGGUAGUAUAGCUUGCAAUGGGGUGACAUUAAUUGGCCCCUGAAUAUUGGCACUGGAAUUUGCCAUUGUUUCUAACAUCCGUAGAUAACUAUCCACUGAUCUGUUCCACAUCAAAUUUUAAUAGCUGCCUUGAACUGGAAUCAUUGUGGUAUCUUUAGUUAAAAACUGAUCAUAAUGGCAUUCCUCUCAAACCUUGGCUUUAUUAAGAGAUGCAGUUACCAUAUUUAAUUGAGCCUCUUUUACAAACAUUUUUAGUUUGAGUGGGUACAAUCCAUUGAUUAAUAUGGACAAUACAAAAGCCUUUGGCAUUUGGUGAUUUAGCCACUUACGAAGUAUAUCUACUACAUGACCAUAGUAUGAUUCUACUGCCUCUCCUGGACCCAUUUUGUUAGUCAUUAAUCUUUCUCAAAGUUGAUCCUCAAAACCAAUUGGGCAAAAAUGGAUUAAAAAUGCAUUCUUCGAUGCAUCCCAAUUAAAAAAUUGACCCAUUGGUUGACAGUUGUACCAUUCAAAUGCCAUGUCCUUUAAAAUUGCUGACAACCAUCGUAACCAAAUAUCUUCAAUUCUUCCAUUAUUGGCUAUUUAAGCUGUCAGAAACUGAGACAAAUGUUGAUCUGGAUCUGAACUUAGAAAAUCCCUAAAAGUAGGUAAUGGAGCCACGCUCGUUGUGCUAUCACUUAUGUCACCCAUUUGUACUGCUAUUGGAAUCGUUGGACCACCCGUUGCCAUUGAAGAGAAUAAUGUUCCACUUAAUCUUUUGUCAAAACAACUAGUACCUUCUCCAAUUGAAUGUUUUAAAUUUUUAAGUUUCCUCAAUUUGGUAUUAUUUUCCUUUAUUAAGUUAUUCGAUAGAAUUGGGGGUAAAAAUGAUGGGUUUUAAAAUACAUUGAAUUGGCCCUUAUUAACUAGUAAUUUAUGCCACUUUACGGAACCAGUUUUGACAGAAUUGGAAGCUUUUGUUAUUGGAAACGUAUCCAAUAGAGUACCCAAUUCUUCUAUGAUUCUCCCACUUACAGUUAACGGCCUAUCAAGGACAUGAACUCCUAAGAAAGAUAAUCUCAAUACACUCUUUUGUCACUCAAAAAUACUUAAAAAUCACUCAGAAGUGAUAAUGUAUUGAAAUAGAAUGGCUAUUGUCAAAGACUAAAAAACAUGACAACUCUUGAAACUAGACUAGAAAUAAGAAAAGAGUUGAUAAGAGUGAAGAAGGCUUCACUUUUGUCUCUAUAUAUACUAUUUAACUAGGAGCUAUGUGGCAACGUUCUAUAGGACCUUCAAUAUGUGUUGACUUUGUAGGACACUUGCCUUGACUUAUAAGGCAAGUUUUUCUAUGUGUAGGCCAUAUAGUUAGCUUGGUCUUUAAGCUAAUAAUAUGUGUGGCACAUGGCCAACUUGUUGACCAUGUUUCUAAUCCAAAAAGUCAAUUAAAGACUCCUAUGAAGUCAAAGCAAUGUCUAUGAAGCUUCUAGAAAGCUUCUAUAACAAAUACUAUAGAAUUAACUAAUUUUUAUCUACUUUUACUUAUUUUUAUUUAUUUAUAUAUGUAAUUACUAGCUUACAUGAGUAUGUCUGUGACAUUACUCCCCUUCUAGGGAUGAGUUCCACGAGGAGCGGUCAUCAUAUGUUGAAAAAAUCUAUGAUGCGAUAAAUUAUAUUUUCCACAUACUCUGAUCUUUGUUCUCUUCGAAGAUUAUUGAUAGGGCCUGUCAUCCAUCGGUAGUGUCCCAUAUUAGGGCGAGAAGACCACCAUGUCAUUUGGUCAUUGUUGAGGCCUUCAUAACUUCCUUCGAUUAAAACAUUUGCAAUACCAUCAAGAGUUGUUCCUACCUCUAGUGAAAUCACCAAACAUCAGAAGGCCCUUCUAAGGUCGUGAUACCAAAUGCAUUAUAUUUUGCCAUCUUUUCGAGGAAGAACAUGUCGUUCUUGAAGAUCUUCAUCUCGAUUGCAUCAUCUUGAAGGUUGUGAUAAUCGUAAUAUCUCGUCCGAUAGGACAACAAAUGAAGGCUCUUAAGUCAAAUCCAUUGGUUGUUAGAUCUCCAUCUCUUUAGCGUCACAAGAAGCUACAAACAAGGAUUGAAAGUAGAAUGUUAUCUUGUCUAGAUCUUGUUUCUUUUAUAAAGAAGAUUUUUAUCUUGGUUUUAAUGGAUGUCGUCGAUGAAAAGCCUCCACCGCCUUUGCUGCAUUUACAAGAUUCUUUAGUAGCUCCCAUGUGCUUUUGCUAAUAUCAUAUCCGUAUCAAUGGAUAAGAUAUUCUAAUUUAUUUUGGCAUCAUCUUGAAUCUAAGACUUCUUCCACUUCAAACUCUUAAUUAUUGUCGACUUCUAUAGGAAGAAGUGGAGCUUGUCUUCUUCUUGGUAUAUCUAUUGUCUUGUAUGGUUUAAGAAGAGACAUGAAGAAUACAAGAUGGAUUUUUAUUGACUUUGGUAGAUGUAAACAACAUGCAACUGGAUUGAUUUGUGUAGAAAUAAAAAAUGGUCCAAGCUUUCGAUAGUCCAACUUGUCACAAAGAUGAGUGGUCUUGAUAUUACGACAAAGUAACCAUACCUUAUCACCUAUGUGGAAUGGUGGUUAUUCCUUUUGAUAGACAUCCACAUUUAUCUUUUGUCAUUCUUGAGCUUCUUAUAAUUGUGCCUUCAUUAUUGCAUGUAACUCUUACAAUUGAUUUACCAUAUCUUCUAUCUCAAGAUUAUCAACUUUUGAAAAAUUAAACAUGUCAAGUCGUGGAUGAUAACCAUAAUUGUCAAAGAAAGGUGUUUGUUGCAUAGAAGAAUGCACAGUAUUAUUAUAAGCAAACACUGACAAUGGCAAAAGAGUUGUUUAAUCAUCUUGUUGAUAAUUGAUGGUACAUUUUAAGUAUUGCUUCAAGACUUGGUUUAUGCGCUUUGUUUGUCUGCAAUUUGAGGAUGAAAAGCCAAAGAUAGUUUUAUAUCCACUUGUAAAAUCUUAAAAAGGUUUCUUCAAAAUCUUAAUACAAAUUGAGUUUCCCUAUCCGAUAUAAUAUCCUUUGGUAACCCAUGAUAGCGAUAGAUAUUGUCAAUAAAAAGCUUAGUUGUUUCUUCACCCAAGAUGGAUUUUGUACAUGGCACAAAAUGUGCCAUCUUGGUGAAGUGAUCUACUAUCACAAAUAUAGAGUCAUAAGAACCUCAGCUUGGAAGAUUUGUAAUGAAGUCUAUAAAAAUAGAAGACCAUAAUUGCUCUGGAAUGGAUAAUAGCUGAAGAAGUCCAAAAGGUCGAUGACAAGGAAUUUUUGAUCUUCAACAAACAUCACAUGAUUGUACAAAAUCUUUGACUCUCUUCUUUAUUUGAGGCCACUAAAAAUCCCUAGAUAUUAGCUCCAAAGUCUUAUGGUAUCCAAAAUAUCUUGCUGCUGAAAAGUCGUGAUGAGCUUGAAGAACAUAUAAAUGUGCUUCUUCUUCUGGAACAUAUAGGCGUCCUUCGAAAUAGAGUAGGUUGUUCUUGAACUCGAAUUUAGAGGAAUCAUGAGAUUUACAAGAAUUAUUCUUGAUAUUAUAAACAAGAGAGUCUAAAGACAGACUUAAUUGGACUUGCUUGAAAAAAGUUAAAUCAACAGUCAAUGUUGAUUUUAUUGCUCGAAGAUGAAAUUACUCCAGCUUCAAGAGAACCAUUCUUUGUUGCUCAAAAGCUACAUCUCUUUCUUUUGGUACAAGUUAAAAAUAUCUAGAUAAGGCAACGAACAAACUUUGUUGUUUUUUUAGUCGAUAAGUGAUGAUGAACUCGAAUCUUGAUAAAGACAUGCUCUAAUGAGCUUGAUGACAAUUUAAUAUGCAUGUUGACAUGAAAUACUCAAGGUUCUUAUGAUCCGUAUACACGAUGAUUUCUACUUGAGGUGCCUUCUAGAUAAUGAUGCCAUUCUUGAAAUGAAUCCAUAAUUGUAAGAAGUUCUUUAUCAUGGAUUUCAUAGUUAAUCUCGAUUAUUGAAAAUUUCUUGGAAUGGAAUGCUACUAGAUGGAGCUUGUCAUCUGCUCCCAUUUGUAACAAAAUAGCACCCAAGGCAAAGUGUGAUGCAUCUAUUUCUAUAAAAAAUACCUUAGAGAAGUCAACGCGAUACAAGAUUGGUGCAGAAGUAAAUUCCUUCUUUAAAGCAUCAAACACUACUUCAGCUUCUUUACUCCACUCAAAUUUGUCUUUACAAGUCAAAUGCAUAAGUAGAGCUGCAACUUGAGAAAAGUUUUUGUUGAAGAUUUGAUAGUAAUUUGCAAAGUCCAAAAAACAUUGUACAUCAUAUACUGUUCUUGAAAUCUUCCAAUCUAUGAUAGUCUAGACCUUCUUGGGAUCCAUCAUUAGGCCUUCAUUGGAAAUGAUGUAUCUUAAAAACUCAAUUUGAGUAGUGUGAAUUACACACUUUUCUAACUUGGCAUAUAAUCCUACAUCUCUUAGUUUUUGUAACACACGAUGAACAUGGAAUUCAUGUUCUUCUAUGUUCUUAGUGUAGAUUAGAAUGUCCUCUAAAUAAUAAAUGACAAAAUCAUCUAAAAACUCACAAAAAACAUCAUUCACGAGAUGUUGAAAAGCAGUUGGUGCAUUUGUGAGUCCAAAAGGCAUGACAUUAUAUUCAAAAUGUCCAUACCUAGUUCGAAAAGUAGUCUUCCAUUCAUCUCCUACUUUGAUGCAGACCAAGUUGUAUGCUCCUCAUAGAUCUAUUUUUGUGUAGAUCUUUGCUUCAUUGAGUUGAUCAAGAAGUCCUGAAAUCAAAGGUAAAGAAUACCUAUUUUUGAUUGUAAUCUUGUUUAGGCCCUGAUAGUCUACGCACAUCCGUAGAUAUCCAUCUUUUUUCUUCACAAAUAAGAUCCGCACUCCUGUCGGAGAUUUUGAAUGGCGUAUGAAGUUUUUAGCCAAGUUCUCGUCAAUAUACUCCUUGCAGCCAACUCGUUUUGUAAUAAGCUAUAGAUUGGUCCAAAUGGCGAUUGAGCUCCUUCUUGAAGAUCAAUUGAACAAUCAUAAGGUCAAUGUUCUACAAGAAUAUCUAUAUUCUUCUUCUCAAAAAUAUCUUGGAAUUCUUCAUAUUCACUAGGAAUACUACUUGAUAUCUUUUCACUAUCUGAAAUGGGCAUGGCAUAUAUAGCAAAAGAUGACCCCUCUUUGGCUGCAUGCAUGAAAGCUCUUGCCCCUACUAGUAAGGGCUUAGAUGCACUAGAUGUAUAUAUUUUCUCUUAAUUAAUAGAAUUUCAAAAUAAACUAGUAGAAAAGUUAAGGUUACAGGAAAUCCAAUCUAUCUGAGGGUUGUACUUUUCUAACGAGGAUAGUCCUAAAAUAAUUGGAUUCAAAAAAGAUCAUAUAUAUUAAAUAUUAUUACAGUAUUAUGAUCUUUAAUUACUACAUCUAAACAAACAAUCUCAUGGGUAACAUCACCAGAAGACAAUGAACAACCAUCUAUGACUUCCACAUGUACAGGUUUGAUUUUCUUGACUAAUAAUAUUUCUUAUUUUUGACAAAGCCUUUGUCUAUGAAACAAGCUGAGGCUCCUAAAUCUAAUAAUGCAAAGACUUUAUGAUUUUUGGGUCCUAAACAUACAUCUAUUGUAAAACAAGGUGAAGCAUCUGAGGAGAGAAUAAGACUUUGACUAGGUGUUGUACAUGGUUCCAGUUGCACGAUUCCUAUUGUAGCUGGAAGAACUUAUUUUCUGACUCAUUAUCUUCUUUUGCAAUCGUACUCCUCAUUUUGUGAUUGCGUUGCUUCCUUGGACAAUAUUGAGCAGUAUGUUUAGCUUCUCCACAAUGUAGACAUAAGCCCUCUUGACGUCAUCGAGUCUUUUCCUGCUCUGUGAGGGAUUUAAAACGUACUGUAUCAAUUUGCAUUGGCUUUGGCCUUGAUGGAAAGGUUUUCAAAAACUUAGAAGGUGUUGCCAUGACUUGACUUGUUCCUCUUCAGCCAUAUCUUUGUUUUUGACGUCUUUUAAAUAAAUGAUUAUUACAUGUAAUAGCUUGAGCAAUGAAUUAUUUUAAAGAAUCUAUUUUUGGUAUUUUUAAUAAAAAAUCUUUGAUAUUAUCCUUUAAUCCAUAGUAAAAUUGAUUGAUAAGGGCUUUAUCAUUCUAGUCCACAUCACAAGCAAGACUUUUGAAUUCAGUAACAUAUGUGGUGGUUGAACGUGAUCUUUGUCGUAGAGAUACAAGCUUGGUCUCUGCUACCCUUUCUUGAUCACUUUUUCUAAAUAUAGCCAUAAAUACUUCCAAGAAUGAGUUCAAAUUAUAGAGUAGUGAUGAAUCUUUUUUCAUCAAAGGUGCAAACUAAGAGAGAGCACUUCUAGAUAGAUGUGCACCUUUGAAUCCAACUUAAGUAAAUCCAUUAGGAUAUUGAAAAGGAUGCAACCUUAAGUAGAGUUUAACUUGUUACAUAAACCCUCAAAAUCUUGAUCUUGUUCCAUCAAACUUUUUAGGCAUACUAAUCCUUGCCUCCGUCAAGCUUGUAGAAGCAAAAUUCCCAAAAUUUGGUUCUGAGGCUAAUCGACUUAAUUCCUUCAACUGCACAACUUCUUGGCGUGGACUUUGAACUUCUUCCAUAGUAGUAGGAAUAGUGCUUCCAUGGUUGGUAUAGGUGAUGCAUGAAAUUUUGGUCCUAAGAAUGUUGACAAGCUCAUGAAGAUCUGCAAUAGUUACAAAUCUAUUUUCACUUCCACCAAGUGUAACAUCUAUGAUUUUUCCUUCCAUAGACAAUUCAAAAAAAUUCAAAAGUUAAAUAAGAGGAGGGUAAUUAGCAACUUCUAAAAAUAAAUUCCACAAAGAGGGAUAAUCCACUCUCUUUAAGAAAAAUAUCAAUGUUAGAAAAUAAGAUUUUUUAUUUAAAGGUGGGUAGUCUGUAACCUUCAAAAUACAAUAAUAGAAGUCCGGUAAUCCACUCACUUCUAAAACAAGACAAAAAUAAUAUGUUAGCACUCUUGUCAAACUAUCAAGGACAUGAACUCCAAAGAAAGAUAAUCUCAAUACACUCUUGUGUCACUCGAAAAUACUUAGAAAUCACUCAAAGGUGAUAAUAUAUUGAACUAGAAUGGCUGUUGCUAAAGACUGGAAAACAUGACGACUCUUGAAACUAGACUAGAAAUAAGAAAGGAGAUUACAAGAGUGAAGAAGACUUUAUUCUUGUCUCUAUAUAUACUAUCUAACUAGUGGCUACUUGGCGACGUUCUAUAGAACCUUAAAUAUGUGUUGACUUUGUAAGACACUUGCCUUGACUUACAAGGCAAGUUUUUCUAUAUGUGGACCACAUAAUUAGCUUGGUCUUCAAGCUAACAACAUAUAUAGAAUAGAUAUUAGUUCAUUUUUGUAAGAUAUUGGUAAAAUAAACUAAUAGUCCAUAGAAUAGUCACUUUAGGAGGACAUAUGGUUGAUUUAGUUAUUAAAAGUGGUUAUUAUAAGAUUAUGGUUAGAAUUUGGAAAUCAGUAGCAAUUAUAUAAGAGUUGUAGAAGUUUGUUGGGAUGCUAGACUGUGAUAGUCAUGAGCCGGGAUUAAGCUUGGUGCUUCCUCUUUGUUUUUUUUGUUUUCUUUGUUGUUGAAGAAUAAUGGAUAGUUUUUGAAUAUUGAUUAGUGAGUCUAUGGAAUGAAUCAAAGAUUGAUUUAUGAGUUAUUGAUUAUGUAAUUAGAGUACUGAGUGAUUGAAUUAUAUGAGAAGUUAUUGAAAGAUUGAUUAUAGAUGGAAGAUUAUGAUUGUUAUUUAUUAGGAGUUGUGUGUGUGUAUUUCGACAGAAGAAAUCUGUGAUUACAAGAAUUCUAUGAAUUCAGAUUGAUUGGAGUGAAGUCUGUUAGUCAUGGUAUUGGAUAGAAUUUAUUCAGUUUUGAGCAGUCUUUUGAGAGUACAAGGUUGCACAUUGUGAUUAUCAGUUGAUGAAGGAGUAUUGUUAUUGAGAGGAAGCAUUUUAGUGUUUCUUAGUAUUUUAGUGGUUUGAAAUGUAGUUAAUUGUGUGACCCUAAUUUGUAAGUUCAUGCAUUUAGUUUUUCUCUGUGUUCGAAUUCCCUUUCACAGGUUUUUUUUGGAAAGAAUUGUAGAAUAAGUAAAAUAACAAUCACAAUAUGUGUGGCACAUGGCCAACUUAUUGACCAUGCUUCUAAUCCAAAAAGUCAAUUAAAGACACCUUUAAAGUCAAAGCAGUAUCUAUAAAGCUUCUAGGAAGCUUCCAUAUCAAAUACUAUAGAAUUAACUUACUUUUAUCUACAUUUAUUUUCUUCUACUUAUUUAUAUAUGUAAUUACUAGCUUACAUGAAUAUGUCCAUGAUACGGCCUCAAGGGAAACAUUGGUCUAUUAACCAAAUUUUCCACGAGUGCUCUUGGAAAUUUAUCUAACAAUAUAUACUUCUAAAAUAUUUGAUGUCGAUCAGCUUCUGAGUAUACUCAAAUAUGCUGACAGGCAUCCAACCAUGGUUUAAUUCAACUUUAUCGAUGAUUCUUUUUUAACUUCUAUUCUUAUUUGUUACAUAAUAAAUUUUUUGCUUGUGAUCUCUCUAUUCUUUCUUUCGACUCCCAUAUUUUCUUUACUGUUAAAUUCUCAUUCUUAAUAAGCAUACUCUUUCAUUAUAUUCUACUGAAUUUGCUUCUUAUCUCCUAUCUUACUAAAUUGGCAGUUAAUUCCUAACACUCAAUGCUAUUAUCUAUCCCCGACAGCGGUGCCAAAAUGUGGUUGUCGUUUUACUAAUUCUACAAUUCCUUUCAGAAUAAACCUAUUUAAGAGAAUUCAAACUGAGGAAAAGACUAAGUGCAUGAGUUUUACUUAUUAGAGUCACACAAUUAACCGUAUUCCGAACCACUGAAACACUAAUAAAGAUUACAAUGCUUUCUCUCAGUAGUAAUACUCCUUCAUCAACUGAUAACAAUAGUGUGCAAUCCUACACUCUCAAAAGAUCGCUCAAAACACAAUAAUUUCCAUUCAACACCAGAAAUAAUAGGCUUCACUGUAACAAUCUAAAUUCACAUAAUUUUUGUAAUCACAAACUUCUUUUUUCGAAACAUACAUAUCUCUCAAUAAAAAAUAAUCAUAAUCUUCCAAUAACUACUCUUAUAAUUUAAUCACUCAGUGCUCCAAUUAUAUAAUUAAUAACUCAUAAAUCAAUCUCUAAUUUAUUCGAGAGACUCACUUCUUAGUAUUUAGAAACUAUCCAUUACUUUUUAACAACAAAGAAAACAAAGAAACAAAGAAGUAGUACCAAGCUUACCUCGAUUCAUGACUAUCACAGUCUAGCACCCCAAUAAACUUCUACAAUUCCUAUAUAAUUGCUCCUAAUUUCUAGAUUUUAAUCGUAAUUGUGAUUCCUCAUUUUACUUAUUCCAAAUUAAUCUAAUGGGAAUAAACCCGUAUGGAGAGAUUCGAACACGGAAAAUGACUAGUUGCUUAAGCGUUUACAUUAGGGUCACACAAUCAAUUACCUCCUGAAUGUAUCGUCUCUAUUUCAUAUAUCUGAACACACAAGGAAACUAUAAUCUCUUCCUUCACCUUAUCGAUCUCUUCCUUACAGCAAUUCAGUCAUAUCAAUAACUGCUAUUUCCACCAAUAUAUUCACCCUUAUAAUCUCCAACUGUAAUACUGCACCCUCACAGCUUUCAGCACACAAUUACCUUCAUUUCAAUCACUGGAAUUCUUCACACAGAACUGCCAUUCACAUUACGGUGUUUCACACAAACACAGAUUCAUUCUCUCUGCUAAACUACAAUUAGAUUUCAGCAUUCAAUCUUUCUUCUUCUCAAAUAAUACCAAUCACAUUUCCAUUCCAUAAUUCACUUUAAGUUCGACUAUCUUCAUAGCAAACUCCGUUGCUGCUGGAUUUGCCAACUUUGAAGGCUCUAUCAUAUCUAACUUUGAAUGAUGACAAUAGUUUGAGAAGAGUAGCGAUUGUUACUUAGAUGCAUAGAUUGUGUUAUUAUAUGUAAACUUUGUCAAUGAUAAGUAGGAAGUUCAAUCGUCUUAUUCAUAGUUGAUGAUGCACUUCAAAUAUUGCUCAAGAAUUUGGUUGACUUACUCUGUUUGGCCAUGAGUUUGAAGAUAAAAGGCAAAGAAAAGGUUGAUGUCAAUCUUAAGAAUCUUCAAGAGUACUUUUCAAAACCUUAAUAUAAAUUGUGGCCAAAGAUUUGAUACAAUGUUGUUUAGCAAUCCGUGGUAAUAAUAGACAUUGUCAAUAAAGAGUCUUGCCACCUCUUCACUAGUAAUUGACUUCUUACAAGAAAUAAAAUGUCUUAUCUUGCUCAAUGUAGAAUAGAUAUUAGUUUGUUUUUGUAAGAUAUUGGUAAAAUAGACUAAUAGUCCAUAGAAUAGUCAGUUCAAGAGGACAGAUGAUUGCGUUAGUUAUUAAAAGUGAUUAAUUAUAAGAUUACAGUUAAGAUUUAAAAAUCAUGAGCAAUUAUAUAGAAGUUGUAGAAGUUUGUUGGGGGACUAGACUGUGAUAGUCAUGAGUUGGAGUAAGCUUUGUUCUACCUCUUUGUUUCUUUGUUUUCUUUGUUGUUGAAAAAUAAUGGAUAGUUUCUAAAUACAGAAAAGUGAGCUCGUGGAAUAAAUCAAAGAUUGAUUUAUGAAUUAUUGAUUAUAUAAUUAGAGUAGUGAUUGAUUAAAUUAUAAGAAGAAUUAUUGGAAGAUUGAUUAUAGAUGGAAGAUUAUGAUUGUUAUUUAUUAGAAGUUGUGUGUGUUUUGGACAAAAGAAGUUGAAAAUUACAGAAAUUCUAUGAAUUCAGAUUGGUUGGAGUGAAGUCUGUUAUUCUUGAUGUUGGAUGGAAUUUAUGAGUUUUGAGUAGUCUUUUGAGAGUGCAGGGUUGCACAUUGUGGUUAUCAGUUGAUGAAGGCGUAUUGUUACUGAGAAGAAGCAUUGUAGUAUUUUUUAGUAUUUUAAUGGUUCAAAAUACAAUUAAUUGUGGGACCUUAACAAGUAAAAUUCAUGCACUUAGUCUUUUCCUAUGUUCAAAUUUUCUUAUAUAGGUUUAUUCUAAAAGGAAUUGUAGAUUAAGUAAAAUGACAAUUAUAUUUUCGCCCUGUUGCCGAGGAUAGACCAUAGCAUUGAGUAUUAGGAAUUAACUGUUGAUUUAGUUAGAUGGGAGAUAGGAAGCAAAUUUUGUAGAAUAUAAAGAAGAGUAUGCUUAUUAAGAAUGAGAACUUAAUAGUAAAGAAAAUACGAUAGUCAAAAGAAAGAAUAGAAAGAUCGUAGGCUAGAAAUUUAUUGCGUAAUGAGCAAGAACAGAAGUUAAAAAGGAAUCACCAAUAAAGUUGGAUUAAACCAUGGUUACAUGCCUGUCGGCAUAUCCGAGUAUAUCCAGAAACUAAUCAACAUCAAAUAUUUCAGUAGUAUAUAUCGUUAAAAUAAUUGCCAAGAGCACUCGUGGAAAAUUUGGUCAAUAGAUGAGUGUUUCACUUGUCACCAUUAACUACAAGUGGAGGAAUCACAAAAGAAUUGGAUACUCCAUUGGAUACGUUUCUAAUAACAAAAGCUUCCAAUUCGAUCAAAAUUGGUUCCGUAAAGUGGCAUAAGUUACUAACCAAUAAGGACCAAUUAAAUGUAUUUCAAAAUCCGUCGUUUUUACCUCCAAUUCAACUGAAUAAUUUAAUAAAGAAUAGUAAUAGCAAAUUGAGGAAACUUGAAAAUUUUAAACAAUCAAUUAGAGAAGGCACCAGUUGUUUUGACAAAAGAUUAAGUGGAACAUUGUUCUCUUCAAUGGCGAUGGAUGGUCCAACAAUUCCAAUAGCAGUACAAAUGGGUGACGUGAGAGAUCACACAAUGAGCGUGGUUCCAUUACCUACUUUUAGGGAUUUUCCAAGUGCGGAUUUCGAUCAAUAUUUGUCUCAGUAUUAUAACAGCUUGAGUAGCCAAUAAUAGAAGAAUUGAAGAUAUUUGGUUACAAUGGUUGUCAGCAAUUUUAAAGAAUAUGGCAUUUGAAUGGUACAAUUAUCAACUAGUGGAUCAAUUUUUUAAUUGGGAUGCAUUGAAGAAUAUAUUUUUAAUCCAUUUUUGCCCAAUUGGUUUUGAGGAUAAACUUUGAGAAAGAUUAAUGACUAACAAAAUGGGUCCACGAAAGGUAGUGGAAUCAUACUAUGGUCGUGUAGUAGAUAUACUUCGCAAGUGGCUAAAUCACCAAAUGCCAGAGGCUUUUAUAUUGUCCAUAUUAAUCAACGGAUUGCACCCACUUAAACUAAAAACGUUUGUAAAAGAUGCUCAAUUAAAUACAGUAACUGCAUCUCUUAAUAGAGCCAAGGUUUGGAAAGAAUGCCAUUAUGAUUGAUUUUUAACUAGAGGUGCCACGAUGAUUCCAGUUCAAGGUAGCUAUCAAAAUUUGACGUGGAACAGAUCAGUGGGUAGUUAUCCAUGGAUGUUAGAAACAAUGGCAAAUUCCAGUGCCAAUAUUCAGGGGCUAGUUAAUAUCACCCCAUUGCAAGCUAUACCACUGAACGUGACAAUAGCAUGUGUUCCAUAUUUUUCGUAUCAAUAACAAGCGUUAACUACGACAAAGUUACCAUUAAUAUCAAUCCCAAAAGAUUCUAAUGAAACCUUGUUAUUGAACCUGAUGAAGAAAAUGGAAGAAAUGGCCGUUAAUAUGGCCAAGGAUAAGGAGAAGAGGCACAAGCCUAUUAAUACUAGGACCAAUGUAUAGUGCAGUAAUUGUAAGGGCCAUGGUCAUUUAGUAACAGAAUUCCCUUCAUGCUUAUAAAUGAUGGAUCAAUGUACAUUUUGUCGAAGAAAGUACUUAACAACUAAUUAUUGGAAUUGCCAAAGGCAACAACAAUUCAGUAAUCAAACCAUGAUUCUACCGACUCAGUGAGAAGUGUAUCAAGUUCAAAUGAAAAAUAUAUUUUGAUGGAAUGGAAAUGGAUCUAAUCGACAAAAUUGAGCAUUCAAUAACUUUCAAAGUUCCAAUUUUCAUCAAGGGUCUGCAUCAAACCCCCAGAAGUAUGGUAAGGAGCAGUAGAGGUAUAUACAACAUGCUCCACCGCGGUCAUCAAACCAAGUACCUUUCAUACCAAUGGGACAAUGAGGAUCAUUUUUUAACCUUACAUAGAACAAGCUUAGUAGGUAUAUACUGAUGGAGAUACCCACUAUGCUUGAUGGGGGUGCAAGAAGAUUACUUCAUUAUUUUUGUUGCAGACAGAUUGGUCAUUAUACUAAUGAAUGUCCCAAUCCCAGAGCGAAUGACAAUUAUGCGCUAGUAUGUAGGAAUUGUAAGAAGUCAGGACAUACUUACAAGCAAUGUAAUGCUCAGUUUAAUUUCAAUAAUCGGGAUCAGCAGAUUCAAAACCAAGGAAAAAUUGAGGAGAUAAAUCAAGGUCCUCAAGAUUCUUUGAUAAAUGGAGUAGAAUGUGUCUAAGCCAUUUUUAUCAAUAGUUAAUAAAAGGAAAAAGGACCAAUUCAACAUUUGGAUGAGUCUGAUGUAAAGGGCCAAUUUGACCUAAUUAUGGGGACAUCCAAUCUAUGUCUUAUUACAAGCCUCCUACCUAAUAUGAGAUGUGACUCGGUUAGGCAACCUAAUGAGGUCCCAAUUAUGGAGGCUUUGAUUCCGUUUCAAGUUAUUCUAUUUUCUAUGCAGUUUCAAAAAACGUCCUAUCCAUUGAAAGAUCUUCUCAGGGGUGCUAAUUCCAAGGAAGCUCCAGCUAUUGUUCCAAUUCCAAGUCCAGGAUGGAAGAAUAUCUUACCUCUUGGAAUUAAACUCAAACUAAUGAAAAGAAAGAAGGCAUUGAGAAUUACCUAAAAUAUGGAACCGUAUGACAUUUUAAAGGAUUUGGACACUAUUUGGCCUUCUAUUUUUAUGAAGCAACUUCUAAAGGUCGCACCAGAGUAUUACUCUACAUUGAAUUCAUUGUUAACAUAGCAUAGGCAACGCAAUAAGGAAGUUUGUAAAGCUAGUUUGAACCUUGAUCCAGGUGCAUCAACCAUUGAUGUUUCGAUUGACGGUGUUAUGAUCUCGAGUGUUCUGGUGGAUGGUGGUUUUAGCGUCAAUUUAAUGAACGCUGAUACAAUAGAUGUUUUUGAUUUAGAAUACUUAGUGCCCACAAUAAUAAUGUUAAGGAUGGCAGAUUAUAGCCGGGUUAAACCAAUGGAUAUUUUACGGAGUGUUUGUGAUUGCUCGUUUUACUUAUUCUAAAUUAAUCUAAUGGAAAUAAAUCUAUAUAGGGAGAUUUGAACACGAGAAAUGACUAGUUGCUUAAGCAUUCACGUUAGAGUCAUACAAUCAAUUACCUCCUGAAUGUAUCGUCUCUAUUUCUAAUAUCUGAACACACAAAGAAACUAUAAUCUCCUCCUUCAUCUUAUCGGUCUCUUCCUUACAACAAUUCAAUCAUAUCAAAAAUUGCUAUUUCUACCAAUAUAUUCACCCUUAUAAUCUCCAACUGUAAUACUGUACCUUCACAGCUUUCAAUACAUAAUUACCUUCAUUUCAAUCACUAGAAUUCUUCACACAGAAUUACCAUUCACAUUACGGUGUUUCAUACAAAUGGAGACUCAUUCUCUCUGCUGAACUACAAUCAAAUUUCAGCAUUCAAACUUUCUUCUUCUCAAAUAAUAUGAAUCAUAUUUCUAUUCCAUAAUUUACUUGACAAUAUUCAAAAACUCUCAAUCCUCUUAUUCAAAGAAAAUAACAAACAAAAGAAAAGAGAUAGCACCAAGCUUACUAUGGCUCACACUAUCACAGCGAUGGCCCUCGGCUCAUGACUAUCACAGUCUCGCACCUUAAUUAACUUCUACAACUCCUAUAUACUUUCUUCUGAUUCUCCAGAUUCCAAUCAUAAUUCUAUAAUUAAUUACUUUUAAUAACUAAAUCACUUUUUCAUCCUCCUGAAUUUUCUAUUAUAUGGACUAUUAAUAUAUUUUAUCAAUAUCUUUCAAAAAUGAAUUAAUAUCUAUUCUACAUAGCCCCACUCCUAUCUGUGCAGCAUCCUCGCAAACAUUCAAUUGAUACCUAUCUAAAAAUUAUCUAACAAAACUCUUCAAAAAUUAUGAUCCCUCUGGCCUGUCUAAUUAAUCAAUUGCCACAGUAUCUAUUAUUGGUUCCACUGAUUCCGGUUCCAAUUGUGAAUCUUCCUCUUCUUCUUCCAGUCCAUUGACUCUUUCCUUAACUGAGCUGAAAGGUCUUCAUUGUACCCGCCCAGUUCACGGACUUGAGCUUUCAAUUUCAAGAUCUGGACAUCCCAAAGUUCUAAUUAUUGUUGCUGUUGACUCAUCUAUUCUAGAAUAUCUUCAAUCGAUACUUGUGACUAGCUCCUCAUUGUUAACUUUUAUUUGGAACUACUAGUCUUGAAAAUACAAGAAAUACAAGAAAAUAGUACUCCAGCCAAUCCAAAACAACACCACAGAAUGACUUUAACUAGUGCCCCGCUCCUAUUCUUUUAAUACUUGGUGAUAAUGACAACAUGUUAUCCAUACUGUUUGUGAAAGGUAAUGAAAAGUAAUCUUUCUUGGUGGCUGCAUUAAGUUUUUGAAAAUCCUAACAAAUUCAAAUUUUUCCAUUCUUUUUUGAUACCAUCACAAUUGGUGACAUCCACUCACUAUUUGGUACUGGGUAAAUAAAACCAAUUGCAAGAAGCUUAUCUAAUUACUCCUUCACCAUGAGGGAAUAUUUAGGAUUAAGGCGAUGUUGUCUUUGAUGAACUGGUAUAAUACCCUCCUCCAAAAUAAUUUGGUGCUCACACACGUCGGCUGGAAUGUCUUUCAAAUCUGCAUAUGACCACGCAAAGGUAGAUUUGUGAUGGACGAAAAAUUGUUUCUAAGCAUCCAAUUUUGUAUCAAUAAUAUCGGCAUAUAUUUUAAUUAGCUGUGGCAUUUUGUUGGUGCCCAAGUUAAUAGAUUAACACAUAGGGUCUUCAACAACCUCUGAUUUAAUUUUCUUUUCUUGAUCUGAAUAUCUUGUAUUAUCUGACAUAUGAGAACCACCCAAAUCUGGUUCCAAUGUGCUAACUCCAUUGACUGCAGAAUUGUUCAUCCAGCAUGAUCCGAGUUAGUCGCAUCCUUCUGAUAUAGUAAAUAUUCGCUAGGACCUCCAUAUUAGUAGAUUCAUACCUUUGCUAUUGAAGUGUUUUAUCCUACCCCAAAUUACGGUGAAUCUAUAACAUCGACAUCUUCCUCUAUCGAUUGACUCUUAUUGUCCAAUGUAAAUUCUGAUUCUGGCAAUUGAGAUUCUCCAUGAUAUUGUACCAGAUACAUCUGUAGAACAAUCUGGUCCCGACCUUUUUCAAUUGUCAAUGUGCCUCGGCUCCAAUCGUUCUUAGCUUUGGCUUGAUAAAGCCAAGGUUUGUCCAAUAAAAUGGGAUACGAUAACGUAGAACUCUGUAAUCAAAAUACAAUAUAAUUAAUUUUGUAUGUCAAUCUCACGAUUACAAUUGCAAUAUUUUGUAAGAUUUCCAUUGGCUUUACCCGACUAUGAUCUGUCAUUUGUAAGACCAAUGUCAUAGGUAGCAAUUACUUUAGAUCCAAGUCCUCCAUUGUAUCUACGUUCAUUAAAUUCACACUGGAACCACCAUCGACUUGUAUCCCUGGAAUUAAAAUGCCAUCGAUUGAUACAUCGAUUGUUGGUGCUCCCGGAUCUGGAUUUAAGCUAACUUCAUGAAUUUCUUUAGUGCAGGAUCUUCAUCAUAUUAGUGCUGAAUUCAAUGUAGAUCAACAUUCCGGUGCUACAGCCAAAAGUUGCUUUAUUGUAAUUGAAGGCUGAAUAACAUUCAAAUCUUUCAGAAUGUCGUAGGGUUCCAUAUUGAGAGUAAUUCCCAAUACUCUUUUUCUUUUCAUUGGUUUGAGUUUAACUCCGUAAUGUAAGAUAUUCUUCUGCCGUGGACUCAGAAUUGGAACAGCAGCCAGGGCUUCCUCGGAAUUCCUGUCUUCGAGAGGAUCUUUCAAUAGAUAUGACGUUUCUUGAAACUGCAUAGAGAUCGAAAUUCCUUAGAAUGGAACCAAAGCCUCCGUAAUUGGGACCUCAUUGGGUUGUGCCACCGAGUCAGGUCUCAUAUUAGGUAUAAAGCCCGUAACAGGACCUAGAUUAGAUGGUCCUGGUAAAUUGGCACGUAGAACCAAAUUAGGUUCUUUAGUCUAUUGAGGUCUCAAUAUUGAAAUACGUCCCAAUAUUGAUAUUGGUUCAUUUAGCCCCGUGUAUGGCGCUACUUGCCCUCCUGCGAUUGGUUCAUCUAUGUCUUGAAUUGGAUUCUUAUCUUUUUGUCGGCCUCUGAUAAGCAUUGCAUUCACCACCUCAAUACGAUGUACUGGUAAGUCUCGUUGAACAAGGCCUUUGUCCUCUCCAGUUGGCUUGUUUGUAUUUGCUAGUCCUGGUUAUUAUAAUUAAAGGACGCAUUGCGUUGCUGAUAAGUGUGACCAAACUGCUUACAAUUUCCACAUAUUGGAGUAUAGUCAUCACUGGCCUUGGAUUAGGACAUUCAUUGGCAUAAUGACCAAUUUGUCUGCAACGAUAGAAAAAAAGUGGUCUCCUGCCAACUCCUUCAGGGAUAUUGGGUGUCUCUACUAGUAUAUAACGGCUAGGUCUGUUCCAUGUCGGAUGAGUAAAGGAUUCUGGUUGAUCCAUUGUUACUAUAGAGUCUGGCAUUGGCUUUGUCAUGGGUGGAUAUUGAUGGUAUCCUGGUUCAUUCAUCGCCAAUCCAUGAGUAUAGGAUACACCUUCUUGGUGAAAUUCAGAGUUUAAGAAAUUGGAAUAAUUCUUGUUUUAUUUAUUCGAUCGAUUUCCAUUCCAACCAAAUCUAUUAUUCGACUGUACUUGAAUGAUAUUCCACGAAGUUGGUUGAAUCAUUAUCUAGUUACUGAGUUGUUGUUGCUUCUGGAAAUUCCAACAGUUGGUGGUAAUAUGCUUGCCCCCACAAAAGGUACAUUAUACAGUCAUUUGGGGAGGUGAAGGACAUUCUGUUAUUAAAUGACCUUGCUCCUUAUAAUUAUUGUACUAAACAUUGGGACGCAUAUUGGUUGGUUUAUUCCUUUUUUUUUUUUUUUUUAUCCUUGGCCAGAUUCACAGCCUCUUCUUCAUCUUCUUUCUCCAGUCCAAAUAGAAUUAGCUUGACAUUAGAACAAUAAUUGAAUAAAAAGCAAGAACAUCCUAGCUAAAUGAUAAGAAAUAAGUUAUUGAGACUCAAGAUCUUCUCAACCUCAACUCAUAUAUAUAUUAGGUCAUAAGAAGCUUCUUGAGAAGUUUUUAUGAGGCUUAGAAACAAAGCAAGCUUACGAUCCUUCUUUGGCAACUUCAUAAAUCAUCAAAAGCUUUUUAUAAUCUUCUAGAAUCUCCUAUGACCUUCUAGAAUUUUCUUUAAAUCUACUAGAACCUUCUAGAAUCUUCUUAAAAUCUAUUAAAAACUUUUGAAAACUUUUAGAAACUUCUAAAAUUUCUUAGAAUCUUUUCAAAUCUUCUUUAGUUAUAUGUUUAAUGACAACUAGAUUUCCAUGUAUGUUUACUAAUAUCAUAUCCAUGCCAAUGAAUAAGAUAUUUCAACCUAUUUUGGUGCCACCUUAAAUCUAAGACUUCUUCUUCUUUAAAUUCUUCAUUAUUAUCUAUUUCCAUAAGAAGAAGUGGCACUUGUCUUCUUUUUAGUAUGUUAAUAUCUUGUAUGAUUUAAGAAGAGAUAUGUAGAAUAUAAGAUGGAUCUUUAUUGAUUUUGAUAGGUGUAAUUGAUAUGCAACUGAAUUAAUUUGUUUGAAAUAGAAAAAGAUGCAAGUCUAUAAUAGUCUAAUUUUUUACAAAGACGAGUAGUCUUAAUAUUACAACAAAAUAACUAUACCUUGUCAUCCACGUUGAAUUUUCAUUAUUUUUUUUGAUAGAUAUGUGAAUUGAUUCUUUAUUACUCUUGAGCUUUCUUUAAUUGUACCUUCAUUAUUGCAUAUAGCUCUGAUAAAUAAUUUGUCAAAUCUUCUGCCACAAGAUUGUCAACUAUUAAAAAGUCAAAAGUAUUAUAUCCUAGAUAAUAACCAUAAUUGGCAAAAAAAGGUAUUUGUUGUGUAAAAGAAUGUAUUUUAUUAUUAUAAGAAAAUUUUAUUAAUAUCAAAAAAAAUUCAUAAUCUUCAUGUUGAUAAUUGAUCAUACACCUUAAAUAUUCUUCUAAAACUUGGUUUACAUGCUCCAUCUAUCUAUCCAUUUGAGAAUGAAAGACCAAAGAUAGUUUUAUGUCUAUUUUUAGAAUCUUAAAAAAGAUUCUCUAAAAUCUUGAUAUGACUUGAAUUUGCCUAUUCAAUAUAAUAUCCUUGAAUAAUCCAUGAUAUCAAUAGAUAUUGUCAAAAAAAAACUUAGCUAUUUUUUUACCAUAGAUAGAUUUUAUAUAUAGUAUAAAAUAUGUUAUUUUUAUAAAAUAAACUACUAUCACAAAUAUAGAAUUAUAUAAACUUAAAACUAAAAGAUUUGUAAUAAAAUCCAUAGAAACAAAAGACCAUGAUUGUUUUGAAAUAGAUAAUGGUUGAAGAAGUUCGUAUGAUUGAUGACAGGGAGUUUUUAAUCUUGAACAAAUAUCUCAUGAUUGAAUAAAAUCUUGGACUAUCUUCUACAUUUGUAGCCACUAAAAAUCUUUAGAUAUCAAUUUUAAAAUCUUAUUAUAUCCAAAAUAUUUAAUUUUUAGAAAAUUUUAGCAUGCUUGAAGAAUACGUAAACAUACUUUUCGUUUUGGAAUAUAUAAGCAUCUUUCAAAAUAGAGUAAGUUAUUUUUGAAUUAAAAUUUGGAAGAAUCAUGAGAAUCAAAAGAAAGAUUGAUAAUAUCAUGAAUAAAAGGAUCAAAGGAUAUACUUGAUUGAACUUGUUUGAGAAAGGUUGAAUCAACAAUCAAUAUUGAUUUCAUUACUCAAAGAUGAAAAUACUCGGGCUUUAAGUUAAUUAUUCUUUGUUGAUCAAAAGAUGCAUCUCCUUCUUUAGGUCGAAGAUAAGAAUAUUUAGAAAGGACAUUUGAUAAACUUAUUAUUUUUUUAAUUAAUAAAUGAUAUUGAAUUCAAAUCUUGACAAAGACAUGCUUCAAGAAGCCUAGCAAUAAUUUAAAACAUAAGCUAACAUGAAAUAUUUGAGGUUCUUGUGAUCCGUAUAUACAAUGAUUAGACUAAAAGUACCUUUUAUAUAAUGACACUAUUCUUAAAAAGAAUCCUUAAUUGCAAGAAGCUCUUUGUUUUAGAUCUCAUAAUUUAUCUCGGUUCCUAAAAAUUUUCUUGAAUGAAAAGCUACUAGGUGAAGUUUAUUUUCUAUUUCCAUUUGUGAUAAUAUAAUACUCAAAGCAAAGUCUGAUGUAUCUAUUUCCAUAAAGAAUUCUUUAGAAAAGUCAACAUGAUACAAGAUUGGUGUAGAAUCAAAGGUUGUCUUUAAAGCUUCAAAUGCUACUUUUGCCUCUUGAUUCCAUUGAAGUUUGUCUUUACAUGUCUAAUCUGUAAGUAGAGUUGUAAUUUGAGAAAAUUCCUUGAUAAAGAUUUGAUAGUAGUUAGCAAAUUCCAAAAAAUAUUAGACAUCUUAGACCGUUUUUGAGAUCUUUCAAACCAUAAUAGUUUGAACUUUUUUAGAAUCUAUCAUAAGUCUAUCAUUUAAAAUGAUAUAAUCUAAGAAAUCAAUUUGAGUAGUGUGAAAUAUACACUUUUCUAUCUUGGUAUAGAGACUUGCAUCUUUUAAUUUUUGUAAUACAUGUCAAACAUAAAAUUUAUCUUCUUUUGUAUUCUUAGAAUAGAUGAAGAUACUGUCUAAAUAACAAACAAUAAAAUCGUCCAAAAAUUUUCAAAAAACAUUAUUCAUAAGAUAUUAAAAUUUUUUUGGUGCAUUUAUAAGUUAGAAGGCAUGACAUUUUAUUCAAAAUAUCUGUACUUGAUUCGAAAUGUAGUCUUCCAUUCAUCUCUUUUUUUUAUGCAUACUAGAUUGUAUGUUCCUCAUAGAUCCAUUUUUGUAUAGAUAUUAGCUUAAUUCAACUAAUCAAUAAUUUUAGAUAUUAAAGAUAGUAGAUACUUGUUUUUCAUGGUGAUCUUAUUGAGUCCUUGAUAAUCAAUUUACAUCUGCAAUGAUUCAUCUUUUUUCUUCAAAAAUAGAAUUAGGACUCUUACUAGACAUUUGGAAUGGCAUAUGAAGUUCUUGCCUAGAUUCUCUUCAAUAUACUCCUUAAGUUCAGCCAAUUCAUUUUGUAAUAAAUUAUAGAUUGGUCCAAAUGGUGAUUGUACUCCUUCUUGAAGGUCAAUUGAGCAGUCAUACGAAUGUUGUUUUGGAAGAAUAUCUAUAUUUUUUUUCAAAUAUAUCUUAAAAUUCUUGAUAUUGGCUUAAAAGGCUACUUGAAGUCUUUGCACCAUUAGAAAUGGGUGUGGCAAAAAUAACAUAAGACCUUUUUCUUGCAGCAUGUAAAAAAGCUCUUAUAUCUAUAGGUAUAAGUUUAAUUGUAUUAGACUUAUGAUUUUUUACUUGAUUAAUUAUAUUCUUAGUUAUACUUUUAGAAAAGUUGAGAGUAAAAAAAAUCUAAUUUAUUUAAGAGUUGUAUUUUUCUAAUGACAAUAAACCUAAAAUGAUUGAAUUAAAAAGAGAUCUAAUGAUAUUAAAUAUCAGAAAGCUAUUAUGACUAUUGGUUAUUAUUUCUAUAGGAAGGAUUUUGUGAGUAACAUCUUCAGAAGACAAUGGAUGACCAUCUAUGACUUCUACAUGAAUAGGUUUAGUUUUCCUUACUAAAGAUAUGUUAAGUCUUUUAGUAAAUUCUUCAUCUAAAAAACAUGUUGAGGCUCUUAAAUCUAACAAGACAGAGGCUUUGUAAUAUUUAAGUCUUAAAACAAUAUUUGAUAUAAAAUAAGGAGAGGGUCGUGAAGAAAAAAUAGAACCUUCACUAAGUAUUGUACAAGGUUUUAGCCAUACAAUCCCUAUUAUAGGUAGAUAAACUUUUUUUCUAAUAUAUUAUCUUCUUUGACAUUUGUACAUCUCAUUUUAUAAUUGUGUUGCUUCUUUGGACAAUGUUGAAUAGUGUGCUUGGGUUCUCCCUAAUAUAAGUACAAACUAUCCUAAUAGCGAUGAGUUUUUUCUUGCUCAAUAAGAGGUUUGAAAUAUACUAUAUUAAUUUAUAUAUCUUCUAUUUUUAAAUGUAUGUGUUGAAAAAAUAUUGAUAUUGCUAUUAAAUUAUAGUAACAUUGAGGCCUACUUAUCCAACUUUCAAAUUAAAAUUUGAAAAGUUGAUUAUCACACUUCAUAGCAAAGUUAAUUGCUUGACUCAAUGUUUGAGGAUCAGAUAAGUUGAGCAUCAAUUUCUUUACUUCAUAUUGUAAUCCAUAGAAAAAUUGGCUGAUAUGUGCAGCAUCAUCCUAUUUGAUAUCAAUUAUAAGUUGUCAAAAUUAUGAAGUAUAUAAUUUUAUGGAUUGAUUACCUUGUCACAAAAUACGGAUCUUGUUGGUUGCAAUACAAGUUGUAUCAGGUUUUUCAUACAUGGAUCAAAACUUUGCCAAAAAAACCUCUAAAUUAUCCAAUAUUGGAUCUUGUUGUUUAAGAAAAGAUAAAAAUAAUAAUAAUACUAAACCUAAAAGAAGUAUAUCAAUAAAUCUAACUUGUGAUACUAGAAUUGGAUAGCUUUGGAAUUGAAGUUUAAUCUUAAGUUGUACUUAAUUGAUAUAUUCUAAAAUUUUUGAUCUUGUGCCAUCAAACUUUUCAAGUAGAGUAAUUCUUGAUUUAAUAAUAUUGGAAGGAUGUUCCACUGUAGGAAAAGGGACAUGAUUCGGUGAAGAUGUUGAAGCAACUCUAAUCAUAUCUAUAUCUUCACUUCUUGCUAUUCUUGUUGGUCAUUGUGGUAGUAAACUAAGUCAAUGUAUUGUAAGCAUUAGCUCUCCCAAUUGCUCUUAUAUUUGUGCCAUUGCACUCUUUAUUUUAAUAAGCUCUGCCAUGAUAAUACUUAAAAAUAAUAAUAUCUAAUUUUCUUCAAAAUAAAUAGAAGAGAGGAUUUUAGAACAAAAAAGAUACUAAAAAUAAUAUUAUUUAAGAAGAAGAUAAUCCACAAAUUCUAAUAUGAUUAUGUCUUAUUAAGAGUAAGGGAUAAUCCACUCUUAAUCAAAAGAAGACAAAGCUCAAAUAUUAUAAGUAUAUUCUUGUGAAUCUAUGAAGGACAUGAAUUGAAAAGACAUGCAUAAACCUAUGAAAUCCAUGUCAAAAAUAAAAGUGAUAAAAUAGAAAUAAAAAAGUAUAUAUAUUAAAAAGAAACUAAAAUGACUAUUGUUAAAAGACAAAGAGACUAGAGACUCUUGAAUCUAGAUUAGAAGCAAAAAAAGAAUUGAUAAGAGUGAAGAAAACUUUAUUCUUGCCUUUAUAUAUACUAUCUAACUAGGAGAUAUGUGGUGAUAUUCUAUAGGACCUCUAAUAUGUGUUAAUUUUGCAAGACACAUGCUUUAACUUACAAAGCAAGUUUUUUAUGUAUAUGUGACAUAGUUAGCUUGUUCUUUAAGCUACCGAUAUGUAUGGCACAUGGCUAAUUUGUUGACCAUAUUUCUAAUCUAAAAAGUCAAUUAUAGAUACAUAUAAAGUCAAAGUAGUAUCUGUAAAGCUUCUAUAGAAGAUAUUAUAGAAUUAACCUAUUUUUAUCUAAUCAUGUAGAUAAUUAUUAGUUUACAUGUGUAUAUCCAUAACAAAAGAUCUUCAUUGUUUUAGAAUAAAUAAAGGUUGAAGAAAUCCAUAAGAUUGAUGAUGUAGAGUUUUUGAUCUUAAAAAAAUGUUACAUGAUUGUAUAAAAGCUUAAACUAUCUUUUACAUUUAAAGCAACCAAAAAUCUUUCAAUAUUAGCUCCAAAGUCUUAUUGUAUCCAGAAUGUUUGGUUGCUGAAAACUCGUGAUGAACAUAGAGAAUAUAUAAUCAUGCUUUGCCUUUUGGAAUGCAUAAUUAUCUUUCAAAAUAGAAUAGAUUAUUCUUGAAUUUAAAUUUAAAGGUAUUAUAACACUUAAAAGGAUUAUUUUUAAUAUCAUAAAUAAAAGGAUCAAAAGACAUAAUUAAUUGAAUUUACUUGAAAAGAGUUGUCAAUAUUGAUUUUAUUGACCAAAGAUGAAAAUGCUUUAAUUUCAAGAGAAUUAUUUUUUGUUGAUUAGAAGAUACAUCUUUUUUUAACAAAUCUUAUUAUUUUUUGAAACAAUAAGUAAUCUUAAAAUCAAAUCUUCAAAAAGACAUGCUCUCAUAGGCUUAGCAACAAUUUAAAAUACAAUUUGACAUGAAGUAUUUGAAGUUUUUGUGAACCAUAUGUAUGGUAAGUAAACUACAAGUGCCUUUUAGAUAGUGAUGUCAUUCUUGAAAUUAAUCCAUAAUUACAAAAAGCUAUUUGUCAUGGAUUUCAUGAUAAUUCGUAGUUAUUAAAAAAAUUUUGGAAUAAAAAGCUAUCACAUAGAGCUUAUUAUUUGCUCUUAUUUGUUACAAAAUAGCACUUAUAACAAAGUGUGAUUUUUAUGAAGAAUGAUUUAGAAAAAUUGAUGCAAUAUAAAAUUGGUGUAAAAAUAAAUAUUAUCUUUAAGACUUCAAAAAAUACUUUAGUUUUUUUGCUCCACUCAAGUUUAUCUUUACAUACUAGGCAUAUAAGAAUAGCCACAACUUGAAAAAAAUUCUUAAUAAAAAACUUAUAAUAAUUGAUAAAUUUCAAAAAAUAUUACAUAUUUUUCAUUAUUUUUGAAAUCUUCCAAUCCAUGAUAAUUUGGACCUUCUUUGGAUCCAUCAUUAGUCUUUUUUUAGAAAUGAUGUAUCCUAAAAAGUCAACUUGAGGUAUGUAGAAUACAUACUUUUCCAUCUUCUCAUACAAUCCUAUAUUUUUAAGUUUUUGUUAUACAUGACAAACAUGAAGUUAGUAUUUUUUUAUAUUCUUAGAGAAAAUUAAAAUAUCAUCUAAAUAAUAGACAAUAAAAUCAUCAAAAAAUUCACAAAAAAUAUUAUUUAUGAGAUUUUGAAAAGAAAUUGAUAUGUUUUUAAGUCUAAAAGAUAUGAUAUUAUACUCAAAAUAUUUAUAUUUAAUUAAAAAAAAAUCUUCCAUUCAUCUUUUUUUUUAAUGUAGAUUAAAUUGUAUACUCUUUAUAGAUCUAUUUUUGUGUAAAUCUUUGUUAGAUUGAAUUAAUCAAGAAGUUUUAAAAUGAAAAGUACGAGAUAUCUAUUCUUAAUGGUGAUUUUGUUAACUCUCCAAUAGUCUAUACACAUUUGCAAAGAUCCAUCAUUUUUCUUUACAAAUAUGAUAAGAGCUCCUGCUAGAGAUUUUAAAUGGCAUAUGAAGUUUUUAGCAAAGUGUGAUUGUCGUUUUAUUUACUCUAACUAAUCUAAUAAGAGUAAACCUGUAUAGGAGAAUUCGAACACAAGGAAAGAAUACCGCAUGAGCUUACAUAUUAGGGUCACACAAUUAUCUGUAUUCCGCACUACUUAAAACACCCAAGAAACACUACAAUGCUUUCCACUUCCUAAUAAUACUCCACCAUCACUGAUAACAAUAACAUGUAAUCCCACACUAUCCUAAAUGACAGGACAUAAUCAUACUAUAAUCCAAAUUCUGGAGUUCUUCACCAUUAACUGCCUUCACAUUACAGUGUUUCACACAAAUACAAACUCAUUCUCUCUGCUGAACUACAAUCAGAUUUCAGCAUUCAAUCUUUCUUCUUCCCAUUUAAUAUUAAUCAUACUUCCAUUCCAUAAUUCACUUUCACAAUAUUCAGAAACUCUUAAUCUUCUUAUUCAAAGAAAAUAACAAACAAAAGAAAAGAGGUAGCACCAAGCUUACCCCAGCUCACACUAUCACAGUCUGGCCCCUACUUCCUCUCUCCCAUCCUCCUUAUGUUACCACAAGAUACCAACUGCUACAUCUCUAAUGAAAACUGCUUUUCUUAACUAUUCAUCUAUUUUACCUACUGAACUACCUUUUCAACAGUCAUAUAUCCCUGUUUAUACUAUAAACUAAGUAUCUAUAAUUCAGCAAAUAACUACUUAUUCUAUAUAGCCCCACUCCCAUCUAUGCAGCAU
This 27186-nucleotide long non-coding RNA is filed under the name Physcomitrium patens. RNAcentral's name for it is "long non-coding RNA (PPAT_LNC010492)". Lineage: Eukaryota; Viridiplantae; Streptophyta; Bryopsida; Funariales; Funariaceae. The record is from RNAcentral.